CUUAUAUUUUUCAUCUCUGAUGACGACAGUCGUUUGAUGAUCAGGGAUUGAAGACCAUCGUUAGUUGUAUUUGCACACUUGACACAGAGAAGGCAAAGUAAUAGCACAUUGAAGGGACAUAUUAAGAACAAGAAAUAAUCACGAUGUAUCAUCUAAGGGCGAUAACUCUUGUCUUACUGUUGUCCAUCAUGGGCGUAAGCAGUGCAGGCGCAGGUGAUCAAGGACGUGACAACGCUAUUAAAAAUCGUUGGAAUGUUCCCUUGUUCUGGGGAUUAAAAGUAGUAAAGAACGAAUUUCCAAGAUACCACGAGACACCCCUAGGAAGUUUGGUACCAAAAUGGCUUCAACAUGUUAAGGGCAACCGAUUCUUUAAACUGGGAUAUCAUUGAACUUCAAGAGCUUUUUAAUAUAUUAUUUAGUAAAAUAAUAAUAAAAUAAAUUCGGCAAUAAAAUGAUAUUUGAAUA
Patella vulgata (common limpet) is the source of this 465-nucleotide long non-coding RNA. RefSeq lists it as uncharacterized. The transcript is spliced from 3 exons. Lineage: Eukaryota; Metazoa; Mollusca; Gastropoda; Patellidae. The record is from RefSeq and is a predicted model, not a curated record.